RNAcentral lists this ribosomal RNA (811 nucleotides) under Halomonas nitrilica. RNAcentral describes it as "bacterial SSU rRNA". It matches the Rfam family "Bacterial small subunit ribosomal RNA", at positions 57 to 859 of the family's 1533-position model. Lineage: Bacteria; Pseudomonadati; Pseudomonadota; Gammaproteobacteria; Oceanospirillales; Halomonadaceae. The record is from RNAcentral.
GCAAGUCGAGCGGCAGCACGGGAAGCUUGCUUCCUGGUGGCGAGCGGCGGACGGGUGAGUAAUGCAUAGGAAUCUGCCCGAUAGUGGGGGAUAACCUGGGGAAACCCAGGCUAAUACCGCAUACGUCCUACGGGAGAAAGCAGGGGCUCUUCGGACCUUGCGCUAUCGGAUGAGCCUAUGUCGGAUUAGCUGGUUGGUGAGGUAAUGGCUCACCAAGGCGACGAUCCGUAGCUGGUCUGAGAGGAUGAUCAGCCACAUCGGGACUGAGACACGGCCCGAACUCCUACGGGAGGCAGCAGUGGGGAAUAUUGGACAAUGGGCGCAAGCCUGAUCCAGCCAUGCCGCGUGUGUGAAGAAGGCCCUCGGGUUGUAAAGCACUUUCAGUGGGGAAGAAAGCCUUGGGGCUAAUACCCUCGAGGAAGGACAUCACCCACAGAAGAAGCACCGGCUAACUCCGUGCCAGCAGCCGCGGUAAUACGGAGGGUGCGAGCGUUAAUCGGAAUUACUGGGCGUAAAGCGCGCGUAGGUGGCUUGAUAAGCCGGUUGUGAAAGCCCCGGGCUCAACCUGGGAACGGCAUCCGGAACUGUCAGGCUAGAGUGCAGGAGAGGAAGGUAGAAUUCCCGGUGUAGCGGUGAAAUGCGUAGAGAUCGGGAGGAAUACCAGUGGCGAAGGCGGCCUUCUGGACUGACACUGACACUGAGGUGCGAAAGCGUGGGUAGCAAACAGGAUUAGAUACCCUGGUAGUCCACGCCGUAAACGAUGUCGACUAGCCGUUGGGAGCCUCGAGUUCUUAGUGGCGCAGUUAACGCG